Orcinus orca (killer whale) is the source of this 7270-nucleotide long non-coding RNA. RefSeq lists it as uncharacterized. NCBI's taxonomy places the organism in Eukaryota, Metazoa, Chordata, Mammalia, Artiodactyla, Delphinidae. The record is from RefSeq and is a predicted model, not a curated record. The transcript has 2 exons.
ACUAUGGGAAAGUACAACAUUUUCUCCCUGGUCUCAGGGAAGCAGUGAAUCAUCAUCAAUUUCAGUGAUUGAUGAUGGUGAUAUAUUUAUCAUUUCUAUUUCAUUCUUGCUAGUUAAGGAUAGUCCAUAUGUUUUAUAUGAUUCUGUCCUUGCAAUGUAGUUCUGAGGUGUCUGAAAUACCUUGUUUCUCUUUUCCCCCUGUUGUCCUCCUAACCAUCUUAAUCAAAGGAACAAUUCUUUAUUCCAUGAUUUGCAUAUAGAAUUCUCAAAGUUCUGCACUACAGCCACAUCCAGCUGCUGGAUACUAAGGGAGUUUGGUGUUGUACCCAACUUCUCUAUCCUCUUUCUCCUACUUCAGUUCCCUUACCAAGAAGUUAAAGCCUUUUGGAAAUCUGGGAAAACUGCAAAGGUGAAUCAUAAUCAAAGCUUAAAAAUAAAUAAAAUACCUAGGAAUAAACCCACCUAAGGAGACAAAAGACCUGUAUGCAGAAAACUAUUAGACACUGAUGAAAGAAAUUAAAGAUUAUACAAACAGAUGGAGAGAUAUACCAUGUUCUUGGAUUGGAAGAAUCAACAUUGUGAAAAUGACUAUACUACCCAAAGCAAUCUACAGAUUCAGUGCAAUCCCUAUCAAACUACCAAUGGAAUUUUCCACAGAACUAGAACAAAAAAUUUCACAAUUUGCAUGGAAACACAAAGGACCCCGAAUAGCCAAAGCAAUCUUGAGAAAGAAAAACGGAGCUGGAGGAAUCAGGCUCCUGGACUUCAGAGUACACUACAAAGCUACAGUAAUCAAGACAGUAUAGUCCUGGCACAAAAACAGAAAUAUAGAUCAGUGGAACAGGAUAAAAAGCCCAGCGAUAAACCCAUGCACAUAUGGUCACCUUAUUUUUAUAUAAAGGAGGCAAGAAUAUACAAUGGAGAAAAGACAGCCUCUUCAAUAAGUGGUGCUGGGAAAACUGGACAGCUACAUGUAAAAGAACGAAAUUGGAACACUCCCUAACACCAUACACAAAAAUAAACUCAAAAUGGAUUAAAGACCUAAAUGUAGGCCAGACACUAUAAAACUCUUAGAGGAAAACAUAGGCAGAACACUCUAUGACAUCCAUCAUAGCAAGAUCCUUUUUGACCCACCUCCUAGAGAAAUGGAAAUAAAAACAAAAAUAAACAAAUCAGACCUAAUGAAACUUAAAUGCUUUUGCACAGCAAAGGAAGCCAUAAAAAAGAUGAAAAGACAACCCUCAGAAUGGGAGAAAAUAUUUGCAAAUGAAGCAGCUGACAAAGGAAUUAUCUCCAAAAUAUACAAGCAGCUCUUGCAGCUCAAUAUCAAAAACACAACCCAAUCGGACUUCCCUGGUGGUGCAGUGGUUGAGAGUCCGCCUGCCGAUGCAGGGGACACGGGUUCAUGCCCCGGUCCAGGAAGAUCCCACAUGCCGCGGAGCGGCUGGGCCCGUGAGCCAUGGCCACUGAGCCUGCGCGUCUGGAGCCUGUUGCUCCGCAACGGGAGAGGCCACAACAGUGAGAGGCCCGCGUACCGCAAAAAAAAAAACAACAAAAAACAACGCAAUCCAAAAAUGGGCAGAAGACCUAAAUAGACAUUUCUCCAAAGAAGAUAUACAGAUUGCCAACAAACACAUGAAAAGGUGCUCAACAUCACUAAUCAUUAGAGAAAUGCAAAUCAAAACUAUAAUGAGGUAAUACCUCACACCGGUCAGAAUGGCCAUCAUCAAAAAAUCUACAAACAAUAAAUGCUGGAGAGGGUGUGGAGAAAAGGGAACCCUCUUGCACUGUUGGUGGGAAUGUAUAUUGAUACAGCCACUAUGGAGAACAGUAUGGAGGUUCCUUAAAAAACUAAAAAUAGAAUUACCAUAUGACCCAGCAAUCCCACUACUGGGCAUAUACCCUGAGAAAACCAUAAUUCAAAAAGACACAUGUGCCCCAGUGUUCGCUGCAGCACUGUUUACAAUAGCCAGAUCAUGGAAGCAACCUAAAUGCCCAUCGACAGACAAAUGGAUAAAAAAGAUGUGGUUCACAUAUACGAUGGAAUAUUACUCGGCCAUAAAAAGGAACGAAAUUGGGUCAUUUGUAGAGACGUGGUUGGACCUAGAGACUUUCAUACAGAGUGAAGUAAGUCAGAAAGAGAAAAACAAAUAUCGUAUACAAACUCAUAUAUGUGGAAUCUAGAAAAAUGGUACAAAUGAACUGGUUUGCAAGGUAGAAAUAGAGACACAGAUGUAGAGAACAAACAUAUGGACACCAAGGGGGAAAGCAGGGGACGGUGGUCGUGGUGGUGAUGGGAUGAGUUGGGAGAUUGGGAUUGACAUAUAUACACCAAUAUGUAUAGGAUAACUAAUAAGAACUGGCUGUAUAAAAAAAAUAAAGGUAGUUGAUGGAGUCAGAAAAAAAAUAAUAAACCUUUACAAAAAAUGCUAGCAAUGAACAAUCUGAAAAUAAAGUUAAAAAGCAAUUCCAAUUACAAUAGCCUCAAAAAGAAUAAUACAUUGUACAUAGGAAUUGAUAAAACAAAAGAAGUGUAAGACUUCUCUAGGAUGAACCACUCUUAUGUUUCUCCUUUACUCUUACACUCAUAAUAUUGCUGACACCAGAUGUGUGGGAUUUUCGCAUCCAGCAAUUCUUAGACAACACCUAGAUGUCCUAAAAUUCAAUUCAGUUGUGGCCCUAACCAUAGUUAACACAGACCUUACAGGUUAAGGGCUUAGCCUGUCACGACCCCCGCCCCCACUCACCCCCACCUCAGACAUCAAUUGCAAGUCCAUGUUGUUACCGGUGCUUCUGACCAACUGGCUGUAAGUCACAGGUUCCCUUGCCCCCUCCUUGAGUUAAAUUAAUUUGCUAGAGUGGCUCACAGAUCUUGCGAAAACAGUCUGCUUACUAGAUUACUGGUUUAUUACAAAGGAUAUUAAAGGAUAUGAAUGAGAAGCCAGAUGAAGAGAUACAGGGGGUGAGGUCUGGAAAGGUCUCAAGCCCAAGAGCUUCUUUCCCUGUGGAGUUGCAGUGUGCCACUCUCCCAGCAUAUGGGUGUGUUCACCAACCCAGAAACUCUCUUGUGCUUUUGGCAUUUUUAUGGAGGCUUCAUCACAUAGUCAUAAUUGAUCAUUAACUUAGUCUCCAACCUCACAACUCUUCCCAAGAGGAUGGAGGAUGGGGCUGAAAAUUCCAAGCUUUUAAUCAUGGUUUCAUCUUUCUGGUGACCAUCCCCCAUCCUGAGGCUGUCGAGGAGACCACCAGGAAAUGCCUUAUUAGAACAAAAGACACUCCUAUCACCCAGGAAAUUCCAAGGGAUUUAGGAGCUCUGUCAGGUACCAGGGUCAAGGAGCAAAUAUUAGAGAAAAAGGUACACCAAGUGCUCUUACCACUUGAGAAAUUACAAGGGUUUUAGGAGCUCUGUGCCAGGAAUUGGGCUCAUAUAUAUGUUUUAUUUCACACUUGUGCACUAAAAACUACAACAUAUUGUUAGAAGAAGUUAAAGCUCUAAAUAACUGGAAAGACACACAGGUUAUUUAAAGACUUAAUAUUAAGAUGGGAAGUUGACAUACAGAUUCAAUGCAAUCCCUAUCAAAAGUCCAGCUGCCUUUUUAUAGAAAUUGACAAACUGUUCCUAAAAUCCAAAUGACAAAGCAAAGUUUCCGGAAUAGAUGAAACGAUCUUGAAAAAGAAGACCGAACUUGGGGUACUCACACUUCCCAAUUUCAAAAUUUACUUCAAAGCUACAGUAAUCAAGUCUGUGUGGUACUGGCAUAAAGAUAGACAUACACACCAAUGUAAUAGAAUUGAGAGUCCAGAAAUAAUCCCGUAUAUCUAUGGUCAGUUGAUUUCCAACAAGGGUGCCAAGACCAUGCAGUAGGCAAGAAUUCUUUUCAGCAAAUGUUGCUGGAACAACUCAAAAGCCAGGGGCCAAGGAAUGAAUUUGGACCCCUACCUCAUAUCAUAUCCAAAAAAUUAACUCAAAAUGGAUUAAAAACCCAAAUGUAGGGCUUUCCUGGUGGCACAUUGGUUGAGAGUCCGCCUGCCGAUGCAGGGGACAUGGGUUCGUGCCCCGGUCCGGGAAGAUCCCACAUGCCAUGGAGCGGCUGGGCCCGUGACCCAUGGCUGCUGAGCCUGUGCGUCUGGAGCCUGUGCUCCACGAUGGGAGAGGCCACAGCAGUGAGAGGCCUGCGUACCGCAAAAAAAAAAAAAAAAAAAAAAACCCAAAUGUAAGAGCUAAAACUAUAAAAUGCUUAGAAGAAAACACAGGUGUAAAUCUUCAUAACCUUGAAUGAUGCAAUGUUUUCUUAGAUACUACACCAAACACAAGCAACCAAAGAAAAGCUAGAUAAAUUGGACUUCAUCAAAAUUAAAAACAUUGUGCUUCAGAGGGCACCAUCAAGAAAGUGAAAAGACAACACACAAAAUGAGAGAAAACAUUUGCAAAUCACAUAUCUGAUUAGGGACUUAACAUCUCAAGUAUAUAAAGAACUCAUAACUCAGUAACAAAAAGGCAAUUCUAUUUAUAAAUAAGCAAAGGAUUUGAAUACAUACUUCUUUAAAGACAAUAUACAAAUUGCCAAUAAAAGCACAUGAAAAGAUGCUCAACGUCCUUAGAUAUUAGGGAAGUGCAAAUCAAAAGCACAAUGAGAUACCUCUUCACACCUGCUAGGCUGUUAUCCAAAGAAUGGACAAUAACAAAUGCUGGUGAGGAUAUGGAGAAAUUGAAACCCUCAUACACUGCUCCUGGAAUGUAAGUGGAGCUACUAUAUGAACAGUUUGGCAGUUUCUCAAAAAGUGAAACAUAGAGUUAGCAUGUGACCCAGUGGUUCCACUCCUAGCUGUAUACCCAAGACAUGUGAAACAUAUGUUCUCAUUAAAACAUGUACACAAAUGAAUGUUCAUAGCAACAUUAUUCAUAACAGCCCAAAAGUGAAAACAACCCAGAUGUCCAUCAGCUGGUGAAUGGUUAGGGAGGUAUGUGCAUACAAUGAAGCAGAAUAUUACUCAGCCAUAAAAAGGAGCACAUUACAUAAAAGUGAAAUACUAACCCAUGCUCUAAGAGGGGUGGAACUCGAAAGCAUUAUAAAGUUAGACACAAACAGCCACAUACUGUAUGAUUCCAUUUACAUGAAAUGCCUAGAAUACGUGAACCCACAGAAACAGAAAGUAAAUUAGUUGUUGCCAGGGGUUGGGAGUUGGGAAAAUAGGGAAUGACAUCAAUGGGUAUAAGAUUUCUUUUUGGGGUGAUGAAAAUGUUCUGGAAUUAGAUAUUUAUGAGGGUUGUUAAGUCUUGUGGAUAUAUUAAAAACACUGAAUUGUAUACUAUGAAAGAGUAAAUUUUAUGGUACAUGACUUACACAUUAAUUUUUUUAAGUGGGGAAAAUGGAAAACAGAAAUACAACAUUCAUCCUGAGUCUUAAAAAUAAAACAUUAUAUUUAGUAUCCAUUAUUUUUUAGUACCAGAGGAAAAUACUGAAUUUGAAAUGUUUUAAUAUGAACUCGAAAGCCAUUUGCAGCAAUUCUUUUUUUUUAAUUUUUGAACGCGCCACGCAGCUUGUGGGAUCUUAGUUCCCCAACCAAAGAUUGAACCCAAGCCCUCGGCUGAAAGCGCAGAGUCCUAACCACUGGACUGCCAGGAAACUCCCAGCAGCAAUUUUUUUUUUUUCAUAAGAAAGUCAUAAUAGUGCCAUGAGAUUGCUUAAUUUGUUUCUUUUGGUUCUUUAAGGUUUGAAUGGCAUGUUUGCUUCUUUACAGAAGGGAAAGGUGUCCCUCUAUCCUCUUUUCUUCAUCUGGCCCAGGUUCACACUCAGGCACAAUGAGAUACUUGUCUGUGCCUCUCUCCAGGGCUUAGAGAAUAGAUUUUCUCAUUCUUUCUAUUUCUGUCUUUUUUUCUUUUUCUUCCCUCCCUCCCUCCCUCCAUCCGCCCCUCCCCCCUUCCUUCCUUCCUCCCUUUUUCUUUCUAAACCCCCUUCCCCCCCUUCCUCAACUUUCUUAUACAGAUGUGACUUGUGUAUUCUUUGUUUUCUUCUCUUUGAGCCUUGUUUAUCAUGGCUGAACAUUUAUGGAUCCGGAGAUAUAUGCCUCUAUAUUGAAAGAGUCUCUCAGUGUAUUGGUAGGUUGCUAAAGGAUGAGCAGCUAAAAGCUCGUUGAGUUUUAUGCAUUUUGAGUUUGAAAUCCCUGAGACAUCAAACUGGAAGUGUUCGGAGGCAUAGUAGUAUAUGAAAGAAUUACAUACAGUGGUAGAGAACUCAGGAGAGAGAUCUGUGCUUGAGAUUAGAUUUGGAAGUCAUUAGAGGAUUGUUCUUACUGUAAUCUUCUGUAAUUAAGGUACUGUAAUCUUUCAAUAUUAAACUCAAUACAUUACUUAAAGCAGUUGCCACAGGAUUUUUCGUCCACUGAAGUGCUGAAUCCUUUGGCAACGGGGAUAUGAUGAGUGUUUUGAGGUUUACCCUUGAAAACUUUAUCCUGAAGAGUAAGCUUGGUAUGAUGGGAGACAGGAAUUUCUGUUAAGGAAACCUUGAUAUAUCUAUGCAUAUUUAUGAAUAUUUGUUCUCAACAACUAGGUCUGUGGGAUUGCUUAAAUGAAAAAGAAAAUAAAUGUUUUCAGUUGGAGUCAUGUGGACAGAAGUCAGAUUUCAGUUGAUUGAGGAAGAAGUUGGAAGGAGAAUCUGUAUAAAUUAUUCCUAGGCUUAGCGGUUGAGAGGAGAUGAAAGAAGAUUGUAGGAAUUAUCCGUUGUUAAAGGUUAAUGAACUUCUUGUUUUUUAAAAUUGAGGGAGUUGAAUAUGUUUGCAUACUAAGAUGGUAGAGUCAGUAGAGAAGGAAAAGUAAAAAAUGGAAGAAUAAAAGGAAAUUGUUUACGGUCAAAGUUCUUAUGAGAGACAUGAGGAAUAGGAUGUAUAGAGAAGAGCUGGGGAGUUAGCCUUGGAUGUGGAAGGGUCAUCAGUUUCACUGAGGUAGAAGGGAAAGAAAUGAAGGAGGUAGAUUCAGAUAUAUUUUGGGCGGGUGUGCAUUAAGAGCCAUGUAAUGGGGAGGUAGCUAUGUCUUCAUGUUUGAGGAAUCAGAGUCAGGACACUGAGCUAAUAGAAAGCAGGGUGUCUGAGAGGUGGCUUGAGGUUUGGAAUAGCAGUUCAGGAGGCACAAGAGGAGGGGCUCUCUUCCGGGCUUCCUGCAACCACCCACACAUUGAGAAACUCACCAGAGAACUCACUGGACUGUUAGCUGUACUCAUGGCUGAGGUUUAUUAUAGCAAAAGGACACACAGCAGGAUCAGCAAGGGAAAAA